UCCAAGCGACUCCACUUUUGGCAGCGUAGAAUUAUCAUUAUCAUUAUUAUUAUAAAGGGGCUUCGAAGACAAAGACCUGGUUGGGGAAGAUUUUCUUUGAACGACUGAAUUUGUUAGUUGGAUUUGAGGAGGCUUAGUGGAAAAUGGCUCUGUGGCUUUAUCAGGCUCAGUAGGUUGAGGAAUUGGAGAUCGCAUUUGGGACUUCA
RNAcentral lists this long non-coding RNA (206 nucleotides) under Jatropha curcas. Its description in RNAcentral is "long non-coding RNA (JCUR_LNC003451)". The record is from RNAcentral. Lineage: Eukaryota; Viridiplantae; Streptophyta; Magnoliopsida; Malpighiales; Euphorbiaceae.